AGUUUUGCAGGGGUUACGUUUGCAGUCAGUCCGGUGUUUGCAAAUAUUGUGUGGGCUCGCGAGCGCGUCUCUGGGCUCCGGCAGGAUCCGAACCCGCGGCGCCUAAUUGCUGUGCACUGAGUUUGCAUGAAACUUUCCCCGGCGCUGCAGGCACGGCUGCUGCGCUCUCGACUCCAGACCGCACACCUCCCUGUUUUCACAACAGCAGUGACUGUCUUUUCCAACCCGACAUGGAUGUACUCCCAAUGUGCAGCAUCUUCCAGGAACUCCAGAUUGUGCACGAGACUGGUUACUUCUCGGCGCUGCCCUCCCUGGAGGAAUAUUGGCAACAGUGGCUAGGAAGUUUGAGAUGGUGGGGAGAGGGGAUGCUGCUCUCUCGGCAGUUGUAGCUUCUUGAAAGACCUGCCUGGAGCUGGAGCGUUACCUCCAGAGCGAGCCCUGCUAUGUGUCGGCCUCCGAAAUCAAGUUCGACAGCCAGGAAGAUCUGUGGACCAAAAUCAUCCUGGCUCGGGAGAAAAAGGAGGAUCCGGACCCGAAGCUUUCCUCCACUCCCCCCGAGGAUGCUCUGAACAGCCCCGGCUGUGCUUACAACGUGGAGACCCACAGCCUCAACUCGGACGUGAGCAGCGAGUCUUCCGACAGCUCCGAGGAACUGUCCCCCACCACCAAGUUUUCCUCCGACCCCAUCGGCGAAGUCUUGGUCGGCUCGGGGACCCUGAGCUCGUCCGUCACCUCCACACCCCCUUCUUCUCCAGAACUGAGCAGGGAGGCCUCUCACCUGUGGGGCUGUGUGCCAGGCGAGCCGCACCCUCCCGGGAAGGUGCGCAGUGGGACUGCGGGGAAGCCGGGUGACAAGGGCAGCGGGGACGCAUCCCCAGAUGGCCGCAGGAGGGUGCAUCGGUGCCACUUUAACGGCUGCAGGAAAGUUUACACCAAAAGCUCGCACUUGAAAGCUCAUCAGCGCACUCACACAGGAGAAAAGCCUUACAGAUGCUCAUGGGAAGGGUGUGAGUGGCGUUUUGCAAGAAGCGAUGAGUUAACCAGACACUUCAGAAAGCACACUGGUGCCAAGCCUUUUAAAUGUUCUCACUGUGACAGGUGUUUCUCCAGGUCCGACCACCUGGCCCUGCACAUGAAGAGGCACCUGUGAGGGGGCAGAGCGGCGAAUCCUGCGGGCUAAAAGGCUUCCAGGCUGAGAGACAGCCGUGGAAGGAGGGUGCGUGUUCCAGCCAAAGCAUGCCAUUUUGCACCCCACCCAGCUGCCUCCAGGACCUCUACUGGGAAGGUCUCUCGAGGGCGAACCACGUCACGUCAGAAGCGGCAGGGCACCCGCGGUGUGUGGUGUUUGGGUGGCCCCGACUCACCACCGGUACCUGCCUUCCGAGUGGUCCCCAAGCCCUUGCCGUGAGCAUGUGCACUGAGAAUGUUACUGGUUGGGUUGCCUGUCUGUGGAGGAUCUAUUUCUGACUGUGUGAUGAGGCCGAGGCUUCUCCCUCGCGGUGGCAAGGCCGCGAGAGGCAGCAAACGCGUAGUUUGAAUGUUUUGUGUGUGCGGAGUAUAUACCACGAGAGGAGAUGACCACCAAACAUUUCCUAGGGGGUGGGGUCUGCGCCUUAGAAUAAAAACUAAAAAAAAAAAAAAAAAAAAAAAAAGGGAACAUAUGGAGGGCGGGAGUGGGUGGUCUUGACCCCCGAGUGGCGAGUGGGUGUGGGGAGGGGAGCCCCUUCCCGUGUGAGAGAACGUUCGGUGUCUGGUGCAGCUAUGAAACGUGCAAUGUGUCAAGUAGCUUGUUUACCGGCUACAGGAGCUCAUUUGUUACCCGUCGUAUAAGCUGUGUAUUUACAAAUAUAACACAUCGAUAACUUUUCCUUAUAAGACAAAAAGUAAUGCAUGGUCUGGGGAACUAUCUGCUUUUCCAUUCUUCAAUCAGGACUGCAAUGUCGAUCCCAGUUACUGAGCAGCUAACGUGUGGUUGGUCAACUUCAGCGAUCCCUAGCCAUCUGGGCCUGGCAAUACACAAUCCUCCCCCCCUCCCCCUUCGAUUUUGUAACACUCCCUUUCAGAAAGGCAGUUGUGCAGCAUAGGAUUAUUUUUUAAAUGAUUCUGAAUUUGAAUUCCCUUUUUGGAGACUUUCGUGAUGCCCUGUGAAGGCAUUGGGCCUGUGUUGGGUAUCGAGUGCUAGGGCUGGGAAUUGCCAGUCUAAUGUUCCAUUAGACUCAGAACCUAAAGUUUUUCUCAGUUGGGUGGAUAAAACCACUAAAGCUUCGAAACUGUUUUCUCAUGCAGCUAAGUUUCUCUUAUUUAUGCCUUGAGGACUAAUUUCUGGUUUUCUAGCUGUUAAUGCACUGUAGAUCUUAAUAAUGGUGCCUUAUGCAAGUGGCCCUUCUGCGGGGGGGUCUCAUACAGGGGUAUGGGUGAUGCAUGCUUUAUUAAGGCUCUUUUUUUCACCUGGCAUUGUACUGUAUCAAUAUAUAAUACAGAAAAUCGAAUCUCGUACAAAAGUCCUCCUUCACCAAGACAAACGGAGAGAUAAAACUCCCCAAACAAGUCAGUAUUUACGCGAUAUGUUUUGACAACUUGACUGUCAGUGUUAAAGUGAAAACAGGAUCAUUGGAAAAUCAGACCAUUUCUGCCACCAUGAGACUUUCAUAUAGACUUUGCACAACCAUUGUGUAUAGAUCACACACCGGCUGUAUUUAAUAUGUAACGUUGUCACGCAUAUUAAAGACACAGAAGUAUAAAAAAA
This is an RNA transcript of Lynx canadensis (Canada lynx), 2746 nucleotides long. It is a transcript of the gene named Kruppel like factor 6, with no coding region annotated. NCBI's taxonomy places the organism in Eukaryota, Metazoa, Chordata, Mammalia, Carnivora, Felidae. The record is from RefSeq and is a predicted model, not a curated record. The transcript has 5 exons.